This 468-nucleotide ribosomal RNA is filed under the name uncultured bacterium. RNAcentral's name for it is "partial 16S ribosomal RNA". It matches the Rfam family "Bacterial small subunit ribosomal RNA", at positions 28 to 507 of the family's 1533-position model. The record is from RNAcentral.
GAUGAACGCUGGCGGCGUGCUUAACACAUGCAAGUCGAACGGUGAAGGCGGAGCUUGCUCUGCUGGAUCAGUGGCGAACGGGUGAGUAACACGUGAGCAAUCUGCCCCUGACUCUGGGAUAAGCGCUGGAAACGGCGUCUAAUACUGGAUACGAGCUGCGAAGGCAUCUUCAGCAGCUGGAAAGAAUUUCGGUCAGGGAUGAGCUCGCGGCCUAUCAGCCUGUUGGUGAGGUAAUGGCUCACCAAGGCGUCGACGGGUAGCCGGCCUGAGAGGGUGACCGGCCACACUGGGACUGAGACACGGCCCAGACUCCUACGGGAGGCAGCAGUGGGGAAUAUUGCACAAUGGGCGAAAGCCUGAUGCAGCAACGCCGCGUGAGGGACGACGGCCUUCGGGUUGUAAACCUCUUUUAGCAGGGAAGAAGCGAAAGUGACGGUACCUGCAGAAAAAGCGCCGGCUAACUACGUG